CCUACGGGAGGCAGCAGUGGGGAAUAUUGGACAAUGGGGGGAACCCUGAUCCAGCCAUGCCGCGUGUGUGAAGAAGGCCCUCGGGUUGUAAAGCACUUUCAGUGAGGAAGAACGCCUGGUGGUUAAUACCCAUCAGGAAAGACAUCACUCACAGAAGAAGCACCGGCUAACUCCGUGCCAGCAGCCGCGGUAAUACGGAGGGUGCGGGCGUUAAUCGGAAUUACUGGGCGUAAAGCGCGCGUAGGUGGCUUGAUAAGCCGGUUGUGAAAGCCCCGGGCUCAACCUGGGAACGGCAUCCGGAACUGUCAAGCUAGAGUGCAGGAGAGGAAGGUAGAAUUCCCGGUGUAGCGGUGAAAUGCGUAGAGAUCGGGAGGAAUACCAGUGGCGAAGGCGGCCUUCUGGACUGACACUGACACUGAGGUGCGAAAGCGUGGGUAGCAAACAGGAUUAGAUACCCGAGUAGUC
RNAcentral lists this ribosomal RNA (465 nucleotides) under Vreelandella stevensii. RNAcentral's name for it is "partial 16S ribosomal RNA". It matches the Rfam family "Bacterial small subunit ribosomal RNA", at positions 338 to 795 of the family's 1533-position model. Lineage: Bacteria; Pseudomonadati; Pseudomonadota; Gammaproteobacteria; Oceanospirillales; Halomonadaceae. The record is from RNAcentral.